RNAcentral lists this transfer RNA (62 nucleotides) under Phyllomimus sp. YH-2018. RNAcentral describes it as "tRNA-Ala". It matches the Rfam family "tRNA". From Rfam's summary of the family: Transfer RNA (tRNA) molecules are approximately 80 nucleotides in length. Lineage: Eukaryota; Metazoa; Arthropoda; Insecta; Orthoptera; Tettigoniidae. The record is from RNAcentral.
AGGGUUGUAGUUAAUUAUAACAUUUGAUUUGCACUCAAAAAGUACUUUAUAAGUCUUCCUUA